This 182-nucleotide non-coding RNA is filed under the name Thioflexithrix psekupsensis. RNAcentral's name for it is "6S / SsrS RNA". It matches the Rfam family "6S / SsrS RNA". Rfam says of the family: E. coli 6S RNA was the first non coding RNA to be sequenced, but its function was unknown until recently. It consists of 184 nucleotides that fold into an extended hairpin structure with a large single-stranded internal bulge. Lineage: Bacteria; Pseudomonadati; Pseudomonadota; Gammaproteobacteria; Thiotrichales. The record is from Rfam by way of RNAcentral.
AUCCCCCUUGGUGUCGUGCGACGCAGAAUCGCUUGAACCUAUAAGUAACAAUACGGGGACGGGGUUAGGGUGUUGUUGUGCAAGCCUGUUUUGAGCAGGAAGCCUGAUAUGCUCUUAGACGUUCCCACCUGAACCUUCGGUUCAGCAAACUGGUUGUACGAUGCUGUUGUUCUGGGGGGUGC